Molecule: ribosomal RNA, 511 nt
Filed under: Halmaeusa atriceps
Lineage: Eukaryota; Metazoa; Arthropoda; Insecta; Coleoptera; Staphylinidae
Description: partial 16S ribosomal RNA
Rfam family: Bacterial large subunit ribosomal RNA (bases 385-511)
Source: RNAcentral
GUCUUUUUGAUUAUAAUUUAAAGUCUAACCUGCCCAAUGAAAAUUUUAAUGGCCGCAGUAUUUUGACUGUGCAAAGGUAGCAUAAUCAUUAGUUUUUUAAUUGAAAACUGGAAUGAAGGGUUGGACGAGAAAAUAACUGUCUCUAAUUAAAUUUUUUAGAAUUUUAUUUUUAAGUUAAAAAGCUUAAAUUGAUUUAAAAGACGAGAAGACCCUAUAGAGUUUUAUAUUAAUUUUAUUAAUUUUAUUUUUGAAUUUAUUAUUUAUUAGUAAUUUUAUUAUUUGAUUGGGGUGAUUAAAAAAUUUAAUAAACUUUAUUUAUAUUAAAACAUUUAUUUAUGAAUGAAUGAUCCAUAUUUUAUGAUUAAAAGAUUUAAUUACCUUAGGGAUAACAGCGUAAUUUUUUUUAAGAGUUCUAAUCGAUAAAAAAGUUUGCGACCUCGAUGUUGGAUUAAAAUUAAAUUUUGGUGUAGAAGCUGAAAUAUUAGGUCUGUUCGACCUUUAAAAUUUUACA